UGUUUUCUCAAGAUGAACCUAUUACGGAUGUAAAAGAGCCCCCAAGGCUCAGUACCCCGAGAGCGCAUAAAAACCGUGUGGAUUAUUCCGUUGCCUUCCUUCUGACCUUGUCU
RNAcentral lists this small nucleolar RNA (113 nucleotides) under Fistulina hepatica ATCC 64428. RNAcentral describes it as "Small nucleolar RNA Z13/snr52". It matches the Rfam family "Small nucleolar RNA Z13/snr52". From Rfam's summary of the family: Z13 or snr52 is a member of the C/D class of snoRNA which contain the C (UGAUGA) and D (CUGA) box motifs. Most of the members of the box C/D family function in directing site-specific 2'-O-methylation of substrate RNAs. The record is from Rfam by way of RNAcentral. Lineage: Eukaryota; Fungi; Basidiomycota; Agaricomycetes; Agaricales; Fistulinaceae.